GGAAAGAUGCCGGAGUGGUCGAUCGGGGCGGUCUCGAAAACCGUUGUACUCUCACGGGUACCAAGGGUUCGAAUCCCUCUCUCUCCG
Bacteroidia bacterium 44-10 is the source of this 87-nucleotide non-coding RNA. Lineage: Bacteria; Pseudomonadati; Bacteroidota; Bacteroidia. The record is from Rfam.